This 558-nucleotide ribosomal RNA is filed under the name Aspergillus flavus. RNAcentral's name for it is "eukaryotic LSU rRNA". The stretch from base 191 to 344 matches the Rfam family "5.8S ribosomal RNA". Lineage: Eukaryota; Fungi; Ascomycota; Eurotiomycetes; Eurotiales; Aspergillaceae. The record is from RNAcentral.
GAUCAUUACCGAGUGUAGGGUUCCUAGCGAGCCCAACCUCCCACCCGUGUUUACUGUACCUUAGUUGCUUCGGCGGGCCCGCCAUUCGUGGCCGCCGGGGGCUCUCAGCCCCGGGCCCGCGCCCGCCGGAGACACCACGAACUCUGUCUGAUCUAGUGAAGUCUGAGUUGAUUGUAUCGCAAUCAGUUAAAACUUUCAACAAUGGAUCUCUUGGUUCCGGCAUCGAUGAAGAACGCAGCGAAAUGCGAUAACUAGUGUGAAUUGCAGAAUUCCGUGAAUCAUCGAGUCUUUGAACGCACAUUGCGCCCCCUGGUAUUCCGGGGGGCAUGCCUGUCCGAGCGUCAUUGCUGCCCAUCAAGCACGGCUUGUGUGUUGGGUCGUCGUCCCCUCUCCGGGGGGGACGGGCCCCAAAGGCAGCGGCGGCACCGCGUCCGAUCCUCGAGCGUAUGGGGCUUUGUCACCCGCUCUGUAGGCCCGGCCGGCGCUUGCCGAACGCAAAUCAAUCUUUUUCCAGGUUGACCUCGGAUCAGUAGGGAUACCCGCUGAACUUAAGCAUAU